This 253-nucleotide ribosomal RNA is filed under the name uncultured bacterium. RNAcentral's name for it is "partial 16S ribosomal RNA". It matches the Rfam family "Bacterial small subunit ribosomal RNA", at positions 524 to 776 of the family's 1533-position model. The record is from RNAcentral.
UACGGGGGGGGCAAGCGUUGUUCGGAAUUACUGGGCGUAAAGGGCUCGUAGGUGGCCAACUAAGUCAGACGUGAAAUCCCUCGGCUUAACCGGGGAACUGCGUCUGAUACUGGAUGGCUUGAGUUCGGGAGAGGGAUGCGGAAUUCCAGGUGUAGCGGUGAAAUGCGUAGAUAUCUGGAGGAACACCGGUGGCGAAGGCGGCAUCCUGGACCGACACUGACGCUGAGGAGCGAAAGCUAGGGGAGCAAACAGG